UGGGGAAUAUUGCACAAUGGGCGCAAGCCUGAUGCAGCCAUGCCGCGUGUAUGAAGAAGGCCUUCGGGUUGUAAAGUACUUUCAGCGGGGAGGAAGGGAGUAAAGUUAAUACCUUUGCUCAUUGACGUUACCCGCAGAAGAAGCACCGGCUAACUCCGUGCCAGCAGCCGCGGUAAUACGGAGGGUGCAAGCGUUAAUCGGAAUUACUGGGCGUAAAGCGCACGCAGGCGGUGUGUUAAGUCAGAUGUGAAAUCCCCGGGCUCAACCUGGGAACUGCAUCUGAUACUGGCAAGCUUGAGUCUCGUAGAGGGGGGUAGAAUUCCAGGUGUAGCGGUGAAAUGCGUAGAGAUCUGGAGGAAUACCGGUGGCGAAGGCGGCCCCCUGGUCUGUAACUGACGCUGAUGUGCGAAAGCGUGGGGAUCAAACA
Molecule: ribosomal RNA, 427 nt
Filed under: uncultured bacterium
Lineage: Bacteria
Description: partial 16S ribosomal RNA
Rfam family: Bacterial small subunit ribosomal RNA
Source: RNAcentral